CAGCUGAAACCGUAUUGCACCGGUGUCUAAUUCACUUGAGACCAGGAUUCUGCUGGUCUCUUGUCCUCAGUUGUUUUCCGUGACUUAGUUUUGAAUGUUUGUUUUUGCAGGGAGAAAUGAGAGUUGGUCUGAAAUAUUUUAAUGUUGUCUCUCUUUUAUUUCCCGAUUCCAGGCAAAAACAAUGCUGCUUGGAGCAGUGUCCGAAAACUGCUGGCCUCCGUUAACCUCCUCUUCAGUUCCCCCAGUGCCCCGUUACAGUAACUGCUUUGUGCAGCCUCAGGCCUGGACAAAGAGUGUCUCAAGACCUGCAUGCAUCGGGGGUUUCCAAGGCCUGCAAUGAUUUACAGUGAUGGGAACUUUGUAUAAAGCAGAAGUGGUCGCGCUCACACCAGCUGGCUGAGUUUUGGAGGCAGCUGCAUCACCUCUACUCUCAGACUUGGCUUGUGUUGCUCACCAGGGAUGUCUCUUGACAUCUAGAAGCCCCACGGCUGAGACUCAAGGAAAGUCGCCUAGGACACAUCUUCCAGGAAGGGGCCCUGGGCAGGAAGUGAUAGCAGUGGUGAGAGGUUUAGGAGGCCUGAUCCUGGAGCAGGACCCAGGAACUGAAUAGCUGGAUGGAAGUGCUGGUUACCAACAGUCAGCAGAUUUUACUGGGCCAUCCGAGGGCCGUGUCAGCGUUUACCGAGGCACAGCCAUGGGCAUUGCCAGGGGUGCCGCUCAGUGGGAAUCAGCCGUGGCCAUGGCAUUGUAUUGAUUUUACUCCCGGGAGUAUUCUUCUCUCUCACUGAUGCCAUGUCAUGAUGCCUUUCGCUGCGGACACUCAAGAAGAUCGUAGGGGCUGUACUCCGGCAGUUCCCACACCCUACUGGGAACAUGGACUGGGACCCACAGCCCCCCGCUCCCUCCUGCUAAGACGUGAGAACAGUAGCAUCUCAGCGACUGCUUGGUGGCAGAGCUCAGUGGGGAGAGGGCUCAGGGUUUGGUGCCUGCUUCUUCUUGGCAUCUUGGGAAACCUUCCCCAUUGCACAGGGUAUUGUGGGCAUUGCUUACCCCUACCCCUGGGGACAGAUCACACUGCUUGAGACUGGAUUUCCAACACGUGUCCAAGGCAGGCAGCAGCUGUCCAUGCUGUGGGAACAGCACCAGCCUGUGGGGCCCACCCUGUUUUGCUGGUGGAAGUUUCUGACUCUCGUGACUCUGCUGGUGUUAGUCAGGACCAACUUCUAGCCAGCUGGGCAGGAUGGACGGGUGAAGAAGACUCUGAUGGGCUGGUGCCCUGCAGGCCAGCAAGGCUGUGCUCAGACUAUUUGCUAAGGGGCUUAAUAAGCAAUUCCAGGUGCAUGGAGGUCUCUGUUUGCCCCUAUACAUCACCCAUUGGUUUUUCUCUUUAAAUCUACCACCUGGGAAGUUGCUGAGAGUUUUUCUGCUGCUUUUUGUGUUUCAGGACCUGGUCCAUAGGGCAUUGAGAGUGGAGGAAUGGAUGUGGGGGCUGCAGGGUGUAGGGAGGAGAGAGCAGCUGCGGAGAACGUGAAUCUGCAGGUGGUGCGGGCACCUGAAUCAGCACCUGAAUGCAACUCCCCCUGCUCCUGCUCGGCCCCCUCCCUCUCCUGCCCUCACCACCCUCCCUGCCUCUCCUUUCCGCCUACAUAGUAGGUUAGGUUAGGUUAUAUUGUAUUGUAUUUUAUCUCAUCUUCUAUUGAAUUGUAUUAUUUCAUAUUCAAUUCUACUGUCAUGCACUGCCUUGCAUUAUAUAUAAGCUGAUGGUUAUCUAUGUGCUGCUGUGCUUCUUUAGACAGAUGUAGCCAUUUGUUGUAGCCUGCCUGUAAAAUGAAACUGCUCUGACAUCCUUCUGGCAGAGCUAGGUACAAGCCAGCAGCUGUUCCAUCCUGCUCCCUCUGUGUGGAGCCAUGCACUGCAUGCGGAUAUGGCUGGGAUCCCCCCUGGUUUCCUGCCCCACCCCAUUGCUGUUGCACGGCUCCCUCAGACCUUGGCAUAUUCUGGAAGGCAGGAGGGGAAAUCCAUUGGGAGCGCACAGACCAGGGGCACAGUCUGCAACAGGGGAUGCAGCCCCCUGUUUUUCUUGCUUUGGGGUCCUGGAAGAGUCCCCGGAAGCUGCUAUCCUAUACAGGUGCACCGAUACAUCAGUCCCAUAUCAUAUCGGCUCUGAUAUAAGGAAAAUUGACAUUAUUGCCAAUCAGCUUUUUUUGGCUGAUGUGACUGAUAAUGUUGCUGAUACAUGCCCCAUGCAUGUGUGCAGCCACAGCAUGGAAAGCAGCAUCCAGCUGUGUUUCACCACAAGAGAUGACAGCUCAGAGACUACUUCUGUGCUGGCAGAAGAGGAGGGCAUGGAACAGGCUGCCCAGGGAAAUGAUGGCAUCUCCUUCAGAGAGGUUUUCAGGAGGGCCCUGGAGAAGGAUCUGAAACGGGCAGUACAAGAAGAACGCAUCCUGCACCUUGGCAUGUGGUGGCACCAUCGUGGUGUUUUGUGGCACUGAAAGAAAUGUGUGCUCAGAGCAAUCCUACCAUUAUGAGCAGGAGUCGAGCCUGGCAGCCCCUCCACUGCCCCUUCAGAUUUUAGAGGCAGCACCUGCCCGCUCUGGCACCACCAGUACCUGGAAGCAGACGGACCAGAGCAAAUGGAAACUGUCGACUCCCACCUGCAAGCAUCAGAAUCAAGACAAAAUGUGGUGUUUGGGACUCAGAGGGCGUUUGGGACUUACUCAGGACACGGGGCAGGAACCUGCUUCUUGCAGAAGUCAACCUGCCCUCUCCGCAGCGCUGCUUGGCUCUGGUGCAAGCAUGGAGCUGCCUAGAUGCAGAGCUGUCUGGACCAAGCCCUUCAUUUGGGCUCUGGCUGGUCAGUGCAUCCCACUCCAUAGCAGCUCGGCUUGGCUGUGGCCCCGGUACCUCUCCCCUGCUCAUCCUGUCAUGUGCUUGGGUUUCAGGUUCCUGCCCUUCGGCCAAACCUGGACUACAAACAUGGAUAUUGCUUUGGAGGAGGCAAGUGACUCUGACUCCCUGCUGACUCCUUUGGUGAAGCUCAGCCCCCUUACCUGGGCUCCCUGCAGCCUGGGCAGAGGUUUGUGCUCCCCCAGGCUAAGACUUGAGCACCAGAGAACUGGGCUGUAUGGAACCAGCACAGCAUGAGUGUCUGCACCAGCCCUGGCACCUCCACACCGGCACUGUCCCAGGCUGCUUCCAUCAUGGGCCCAACAAGCAUCUCUGCACAAUCCCCAGCUUGGGUCCGGAGAGCAGGACAUUCUGGGAGAUGCCCAAAGGCUGUCAGUGCCCUGGCAGAUCGCAGUGAAUCGCUGUUGGGCCGUUUCAGCUCCUCAUAUUCCACCUGCUCCCUGAGCUAAUCCGGCUGGAAAAGUCGCUUUAAGAGGGGACAUGACAGCAGUUUCCAAACACUUGAAGGGCUGCCAUACAGAAGAGAGAAAGUACCUCUUCUCUCUUGCUGCAGAGCAAAGGACACAGACCAAUGACUUGAAGUUGCAGCAACGUAGGUUUAAAUCAGAUAUCAGGAGAAACUUCACUGUUCGAACAGUGACACGGUGGGAUAAAAGAUGCCCAAGGAAGUUGUGGACUCUGCAUGGGCGACUGGUGCAGCCGACUGUGCCCCUCCUGUGACCAGCCCUGCUGACCGGGGAGGGAACCUCCUACGGCCAAUCUCACUUCCCGCAUGGACCCCUGUGGCUGAUCCCACGAUGGCCAAUCACUGUGGCUGAUUGCUACAUCAGCUUCCACGGGUGGCUGCAGUGAUCGGCCAGCGCUUGCAGGGGGGGCACUGAUGCCCUCGCCUGCCCCACCUGCCCAUUGCCGAAGCGGCGAGCACAGUUGGUCAGGGGUGCAUGUACACCCCUUUGCAUCCCCUAUGCAUUGCCACUGGGACUCUGCAUCACUGGAGGUGUUCAAGAAGAGGUUGGGCAGGCAUAGGUCAGAGAUGGUCCAGUUGUAGUUAUGAUUAUAUUGUAUUAAGGAUACUUCCCAGGCUUCUGGGCUUUGCUGGUUGUUGCACGGAGCCAGGAGGGACUUUUGAACUGUCCCUCCCCGACCCCAAUGCUGCUACGUACGUCAUAUUUUCUUUUAAGCCUUCCUCAGGCAUUGGGUGUUGGCUGCAGCUGAUGCUGGGGGAUGUGAUGGGGCUGUGCCAAUGCUGCUGCUGGUACUGAAAGCCAGAGGUUCCUGACUAGAGGAUCUUGCCCCUCCACUCAGGACAAUAUCCAUCACCACCUUUGGGGUCAGGAAUUUUGCCUCGCGGCGAGAUUGGUGCAGACUCGGGGAGGGGGGACGGGUGGCCUCUGCCUUGAAUCUCUUGAGUAAAUUUUAACAACUUUUGCAUCAGCAGGAAGUUGUUCAUAACCACGAAAGCUGCCAGUGUCCACUCCUGCGAGGCAUUGCACAGCAACCGAGCUUGUGAGAAAGCCACUAGCUAAAGCAGCUGCAAAUUCUGUCAAGGCGGAAACUUUGCCGGGACAGCGGGAAGAUGUUCAGAAUGAGAGUGCAGGAAGAAAAGCCUGCCUGGCUGGGAUGGGUUUUACCAACCGGGUUUAGAGAACGGCCCAAGAGGGAAAACUCAGUGAAAAUAAACUAUAAAGGUGCAGUAGCAGCAGGCUUCAUCAAGGGGAAAGGAUGAAGGUGCAAAUGAGAAAAGGCAUAAACAAAGUUGGGGACAAAGGAUGUGUGCAGUACUAGACUGCUCCCUUCACAGCCCGGCCAGACUGUCUGGUCAAAGGGGCAGGGAGCAAGACGAGGUAGCUAGUGCAUUUCUAGGCAUGGGAGUGUGCGGUGUCUGCUGAAUAAACCUACGUGAGUGGAAGGGAAACUCCUGUCUCUCAAGCUGUCUUUCUCCCAGUAACUCCUUGGUUCCCCAGUCCAAGGUGCUGGAGUAACCCCUCUGCUUUAGCAGUGGCCAGUUUGUGUGUUAUGUCCGGUGUUGUGUCAGGGUUGAGUGUAAUGUUGCUAAGAGGCCAGACAGCGGAUGUGCCUGGGAUGGUUUGGCCAGUGCUGGCUGCCUGGGGCUCUGUGUGUGGGCUGCCCAGGGGGGCUGCAGUGCUAGGGGAGCAGUGGGUGCUUAGCACAGCCAUUGCUUCAGGGGUAGUCACAGCCUAAAUGAGACCUGGGCUGAGCACUGAUCACGGCAGAUGACACAGUCUUGGAGCAGUGGGACUGGCAGGGACCUCCAGAGCUCACUUCUACUCCAGCCCCCGCCUGAGGCAGAACAGCCCUUUCCAAACCAUCCCAGACCAAUACUUUCCCCAUGAUGAUGGCUGCUGUUACUGCCCAUUUACAGAUUAUUUGCAUCACUGAGUUAUCACUGUUGGGUCUGUCUCUAAAACCCAGUUGGCAAAAUCCACCGGAGCCAGCAGACUUUUCUUAGCACGCUUUCUCUCUUUCUGAACAUCUUCUUCCGACCGUCCUUGGCAAUGUUUCUUCUUGGGCUUAACUUGCAGCUGCUUUGCUCAGCUCUAAGGAGGUAGUAGCUUUCUAGACAGCUUGGCUGCUAUUCAGCGCCGUGCAGGAGCAGUUUUGUGGUUAUAAAGGGACUCUGUGGUUCUGGCCGCAGCACGGCAGCCCAGGCACUGCCUGCAGCAAGUGGCACAGCCCACUUCUUCUUUUGGCUCACAGCUGGUCCCUCCCAGCUCCAAGCCCUGCUGUUCUUCUCUCUGGGAUAUUUUUAAGUUCCCCAUGAGCCACUCUCUUAGUAGCAGCUUCCCCACAGCUGCAGUAACUCCUCAGGCCUGUCUGCCCCUUCCUAAAGGGACAGACCACCCUGUUACACCCUCCCAUGGCUCACAGGUCAGUGCCCCCGGUCCAGCCUGCAGGAGUCUGCCUGCGCUCGCUCUGUACCAUGUCCAGGCUGCACCAUGCCUGAAUGCACUGAAGGCUCCCUGUUGUGUCCCCGUGAUGGUAUAAUGGGUCAUAUACCAGGCAAGGAGACUAAGACAUGGUUGUCCUAAGCUAAAAGCAAGUUUACUAAACUCUUACAGAUACAACUCUAAUUAGAAUUGAAGCACCAUUAGCAGUUAAACAUUUUAGGUUCGUAGCUAGUCAAAGCAUAUAUGCUCACCACCCUGUAAUGUUGAGAAUGCAACUUCACUGAUUGAUCAGGCCAUGAAGUCUUGUCCAGGGCUCCUGGGUCCCACAUCUGAUGUUGAGACAGGAUCUGGGAUCAGUGACAAGAUCUCUUCAGGAGUGUUGCAAAGGGCACACUCUCUCACCUCUCAUUAUAUGCCAUAUACCUUGCAUUUCUUAAUACAUGAAAUUAGCUUAAGCCUUCCUUCUAAUGCAUAUUAAAAACCCUUGCUUCUGUUUGCCAUAA
Long non-coding RNA from Alligator mississippiensis (American alligator), 6322 nucleotides. RefSeq lists it as uncharacterized. The transcript is spliced from 2 exons. Lineage: Eukaryota; Metazoa; Chordata; Crocodylia; Alligatoridae. The record is from RefSeq and is a predicted model, not a curated record.